UCCUCAACCUCACCUUUUAUUGUAAAAGAUAAAUGUGAACUUCAUCAUCCAAGCAUCACACGGAACACAUCCACAACAAAACUCAUUUCAUAAACCAAUCUAAAUGACAGGUUGCGUUGACAAAAAACAAAACAUAAGUUAGCGACCUAAAAGCUAGACUUGUUUACAAAGUACCACAUCUCUGGUGAGCACAAGGGAGAAAUGUAAUAUUGUUUAGAAAAGAGAUGUGUGUCAUGUCAUCUAAGCUAAAUGCUGCUAAAUUCUUUAUGAUGGCAGCCAUGUUUGUUUAUGUUUGACAAGCGAAAACUCCCUAAUCCCAGAAUGCCAUUCACUACUAUGACUCGUUCAAAACAACUGGGAGCUGAGAACUUGGAACUCAGAAAUCUCAGACUUCUGACUUCAGUGCAUUCAAAACAACUGGGAACUCGGGAAAAAACAAGCUCCGACUGGGAAUUCCAACUCUGACUUUUUAAAAUUUUUAAUUUUACCCCUUUUUCUCCCCAAUUUCGUGGUAUCCAAUUGUUGUAGUAGCUACUAUCUUGUCUCAUCGCAACAACUUGAAAGUCAUGCGUCCUCCGAUACACAACCCAACCAGCCGUACUGCUUCUUAACACAGCGCGCAUCCAACCCGGAAGCCAGCCGCACCAAUGUGUCGGAGGGUACACCGUGCACCUGGCAACCUUGGUUAGCGCGCACUGUGCCCGGCCCGCCACAGGAGUCACUGGUGCGCGAUGAGACAAGGACAUCCCUACCGACCAAGCCCUCCCUAACCCGGACAACGCUAGGCCAAUUGUGCGUCGCCCCACGGACCUCCCGGUCGCGGCCGGUUACGACAGAGCCUGGGCGCGAACCCAGGGACUCUGAUGGCACAGCUGGCGCUGCAGUAUAGCGCCCUUAACCACUGCGCCACCCGGGAGGCCCGAACUCUGACUUUCUGACCUGAAGAUCACUGACAUCAUGAUUUGACCUCGUAUUUCUCCAAGUUCCUAGUUGUUUUGAAUGCAGUAUAAAACACAAAUAAACAAAGUCAAAGUCAAAGAUGGCUGCGCCCCUAGCCUGAAAAAUAUGAACUUAGUUUGGUCACUUUUCAGCAUAUUACAAAUCUUCGAUGUACUUGUUACAGUGUUUUCAAGAAUCGGAGCACAAGUCAUUUACAGCAAAUAAAAUGGACCACAGUUACAAUCUGAUGCCAUGUUCAAAACAACUGGGAACUGGAAACUCGGAAAUCUCAAACUUCUUACACAUUCAAGACAACUGGUAACUAUGGAAAAAACAAGCUCCGAAAUGUGAAUAAAACAGUAAAUACAUUAUGCUCCAUGCAAACAUAAGGUAUGUUACAGUAGAAACAACAACACGAUAUACAGAAAAUAUGGCACUUACUUUGAUAGGAACGCAUACAUGUCCAAAGUUAUUAUUUGCAUGGAAAACAACAAUGAAGGCAAUGCUUUGAAAUUAUUUGAAAUGGACAUGUUAAAACAUAAUAUAUAGAUAAUUAGCAGGCAGCGUGCCUCGGUUCGCUGGCAGCAUGGGUUAACUGUCCUGUUGCUUAACAAUCACAUUUUGGAACAAUGAGUGCAUUAUGACAUCACGUGCGUUAAAAAAACCUCACACUGGGACGACCGUGAAAGAUAUUUAGAACUCACACAUGAAAAGAUUAAGGAUGGAUAUCUGGGAGACAAGUUUGAGGUGUCAAAGAUUGUGAAGCAUGCGCUGGGAAAAGUGGAAUCUUUCAAGUCUUAUUUUGAUACAUUUUAUUUCUGAAAAACAGAGGAAAAUUGCAGUGGACCUCAAAAGAAUCCACACCACAGAAGUAUCAUGCUUUGAACAUCGAAGCAGAGUCA
Molecule: long non-coding RNA, 1841 nt
Organism: Oncorhynchus tshawytscha (Chinook salmon)
Lineage: Eukaryota; Metazoa; Chordata; Actinopteri; Salmoniformes; Salmonidae
Source: Ensembl